UACCAGCUCUUCGAGUGGUGUGGAUGUUUAUUGGGCCUAAAGCAUCCGUAGCUGGCUGGGCAAGUCCCCUGUUAAAUCCACCGAUUUAAUCGUUGGAGUGCGGGGGAUACUGUUCGGCUAGGGGACGGGAGAGGCAGACGGUAUUUUCGGGGUAGGGGUGAAAUCCUAUAACCCCGGGAAGACCACCAGUGGCGAAGGCUGUCUGCUAGAACGCGCCCGACGGUGAGGGAUGAAAGCUGGGGGAGCGAACCGGAUUAGAUACCCGGGUAGUCCCAGCUGUAAACGAUGCAGGCUAGGUGUUUGGGCGGCCACGUGCCGCUCUAGUGCCGCAGGGAAGCCGUUAAGCCUGCCGCCUGGGGAGUACGGCCGCAAGGCUGAACUUAAAGGAAUUGGCGGGGGAGCACCACAAGGGGUGAAGCUUGCGGUUU
RNAcentral lists this ribosomal RNA (428 nucleotides) under uncultured archaeon. RNAcentral describes it as "bacterial SSU rRNA". It matches the Rfam family "Archaeal small subunit ribosomal RNA", at positions 474 to 903 of the family's 1478-position model. The record is from RNAcentral.